CCUACGGGAGGCAGCAGUGAGGAAUAUUGGUCAAUGGACGGAAGUCUGAACCAGCCAAGUAGCGUGCAGGAAGACGGCCCUAUGAGUUGUAAACUGCUUUUGUACAAGGGUAAACCUGAAUACGUGUAUUCAGCUGAAAGUACUGUACGAAUAAGGAUCGGCUAACUCCGUGCCAGCAGCCGCGGUAAUACGGAGGAUCCAAGCGUUAUCCGGAUUUAUUGGGUUUAAAGGGUGCGUAGGCGGAUUGUUAAGUUAGAGGUGAAAGGUUGGAGCUUAACCCGGGAACUGCCUCUGAUACUGGUAGUCUAGAGUGUAGUUGAGGUAGGCGGAAUGUGUGGUGUAGCGGUGAAAUGCUUAGAGAUCACGCAGAACCCCGAUUGCGAAGGCAGCUUACCAAUCUAUGUCUGACGUUGAGGCACGAAAGCGUGGGGAGCAAACAGGAUUAGAUACCCGGGUAGUC
This 460-nucleotide ribosomal RNA is filed under the name uncultured bacterium. RNAcentral's name for it is "partial 16S ribosomal RNA". It matches the Rfam family "Bacterial small subunit ribosomal RNA", at positions 338 to 795 of the family's 1533-position model. The record is from RNAcentral.